RNAcentral lists this transfer RNA (73 nucleotides) under Albula glossodonta (roundjaw bonefish). It matches the Rfam family "tRNA". Rfam says of the family: Transfer RNA (tRNA) molecules are approximately 80 nucleotides in length. Their secondary structure includes four short double-helical elements and three loops (D, anti-codon, and T loops). Further hydrogen bonds mediate the characteristic L-shaped molecular structure. tRNAs have two regions of fundamental functional importance: the anti-codon, which is responsible for specific mRNA codon recognition, and the 3' end, to which the tRNAs corresponding amino acid is attached (by aminoacyl-tRNA synthetases). tRNAs cope with the degeneracy of the genetic code in two manners: having more than one tRNA (with a specific anti-codon) for a particular amino acid; and 'wobble' base-pairing, i.e. permitting non-standard base-pairing at the 3rd anti-codon position. The record is from Rfam by way of RNAcentral. Lineage: Eukaryota; Metazoa; Chordata; Actinopteri; Albuliformes; Albulidae.
UGGGGAUUAGCUCAAAUGGUAGAGCGCUCGCUUAGCAUGCGAGAGGUAGCGGGAUCAAUGCCUGCAUCCUCCA